CCUGAUUAAAUAUAGGAGGUCCAGCCUGCCCAGUGAUAAUAUUCAACGGCCGCGGUAUUUUAACCGUGCGAAGGUAGCAUAAUCACUUGUUCUUUAAAUGGGGACUCGUAUCAACGGCAUCACGAGGGCUAUACUGUCUCCUCUCUCCAAUCAGUGAAACUGAUCUCCCCGUGAAGAAGCGGGGAUUUAAUUAUAAGACGAGAAGACCCCAUGGAGCUUUAAACCCAAUCUGCACCCCUACCCCGCUCAAACAUCAACUAAACCUCAGGGGCCUACACAUUGGUUUUAGGCUGGGGGGACCACGGAGCAAAAUAAAACCUCCACAACAAAUGGGCUAGCACCCUUAUCCGCGAUUUACAAAUCCAAGAAUCAUUAAAAUGAUGUUUAAUGACCCAAUAAUUUGAUCAA
Molecule: ribosomal RNA, 408 nt
Filed under: Odorrana livida (green cascade frog)
Lineage: Eukaryota; Metazoa; Chordata; Amphibia; Anura; Ranidae
Description: partial 16S ribosomal RNA
Rfam family: Bacterial large subunit ribosomal RNA
Source: RNAcentral